This 486-nucleotide ribosomal RNA is filed under the name uncultured bacterium. Its description in RNAcentral is "partial 16S ribosomal RNA". It matches the Rfam family "Bacterial small subunit ribosomal RNA", at positions 30 to 507 of the family's 1533-position model. The record is from RNAcentral.
AUUGAACGCUGGCGGCAUGCCUUACACAUGCAAGUCGAACGGCAGCACGGGUGCUUGCACCUGGUGGCGAGUGGCGAACGGGUGAGUAAUACAUAGGAACAUGUCCUGUAGUGGGGGAUAGCCCGGCGAAAGCCGGAUUAAUACCGCAUACGAUCUACGGCUGAAAGCGGGGGACCUUCGGGCCUCGCGCUAUCGGGUUGGCCGAUGGCUGAUUAGCUAGUUGGUGGGGUAAAGGCCUACCAAGGCGACGAUCAGUAGCUGGUCUGAGAGGACGACCAGCCACACUGGGACUGAGACACGGCCCAGACUCCUACGGGAGGCAGCAGUGGGGAAUUUUGGACAAUGGGCGAAAGCCUGAUCCAGCAAUGCCGCGUGUGUGAAGAAGGCCUUCGGGUUGUAAAGCACUUUUGUCCGGAAAGAAAUCCUUGGCUCUAAUACAGUCGGGGGAUGACGGUACCGGAAGAAUAAGCACCGGCUAACUACGUG